This 762-nucleotide long non-coding RNA is filed under the name Mus musculus (house mouse). RNAcentral's name for it is "metastasis associated lung adenocarcinoma transcript 1 (non-coding RNA)". Lineage: Eukaryota; Metazoa; Chordata; Mammalia; Rodentia; Muridae. The record is from RNAcentral.
GGGGACUCUUCUGAAGCUGUUGGAUGAAUAUAGAUUGUAGUGUGUGGUUCUCUUUUGAAAUUUUUUUCAGGUGACUUAAUGUAUCUUAAUAACUACUAUAGGAACAAAGGAAGUGGCUUUAAUGACCCUGAAGGAAUUUCUUCUGGUGAUAGCUUUUAUAUUAUCAAGUAAGAGAUACUAUCUCAGUUUUGUAUAAGCAAGUCUUUUUCCUAGUGUAGGAGAAAUGAUUUUCCUUGUGACUAAACAAGAUGUAAAGACAGGUUUCUCUUCAUAAGCAGAAGAGUUGCUUCAUUCCAUCUCGGAGCAGGAAACAGCAGACUGCUGUUGACAGAUAAGUGUAACUUGGAUCUGCAGUAUUGCAUGUUAGGGAUAGAUAAGUGCCUUUUUUCUCUUUUUCCAAAAAGACCUGUAGAGCUGUUGAAUGUUUGCAGCUGGCCCCUCUUAGGCAGUUCAGAAUUUUGAGUAGUUUUCCCAUCCAGCCUCUUAAAAAUUCCUAAGCCUUGCACCGAUGGGCUUUCAUGAUGGGAUAGCUAAUAGGCUUUUGCAUCGUAAACUUCAACACAAAAGCCUACAUGAUUAAUGCCUACUUUAAUUACAUUGCUUACAAGAUUAAGGAAUCUUUAUCUUGAAGACCCCAUGAAAGGGAUCAUUAUGUGCUGAAAAUUAGAUGUUCAUAUUGCUAAAAUUUAAAUGUGCUCCAAUGUACUUGUGCUUAAAAUCAUUAAAUUAUACAAAUUAAUAAAAUACUUCACUAGAGAAUGU